Molecule: ribosomal RNA, 439 nt
Filed under: uncultured bacterium
Lineage: Bacteria
Description: bacterial SSU rRNA
Rfam family: Bacterial small subunit ribosomal RNA
Source: RNAcentral
CCUACGGGUGGCUGCAGUGGGGAAUAUUGCACAAUGGGGGAACCCUGAUGCAGCGACGCCGCGUGAGUGAAGAAGUAUUUCGGUAUGUAAAGCUCUAUCAGCAGGGAAGAAAAUGACGGUACCUGACUAAGAAGCACCGGCUAAAUACGUGCCAGCAGCCGCGGUAAUACGUAUGGUGCAAGCGUUAUCUGGAUUUACUGGGUGUAAAGGGAGCGUAGACGGAUAGGCAAGUCUGGAGUGAAAACCCGGGGCUCAACCCCGGGACUGCUUUGGAAACUGUUUAUCUAGAGUGCUGGAGAGGUAAGUGGAAUUCCUAGUGUAGCGGUGAAAUGCGUAGAUAUUAGGAGGAACACCAGUGGCGAAGGCGGCUUACUGGACAGUAACUGACGUUGAGGCUCGAAAGCGUGGGGAGCAAACAGGAUUAGAUACCCCAGUAGUC